UUUUAAAACUAGAACUUACAGGCUAAAAACUCCGGGCAUUUCGCUGAAAAUUCCUGACGCAUAUAAAAAUGCAUGUAGUUUCUUGCAGCUUAAGGAUUACUACACUUACUGCAAAUUAGGACUAAUACAGAAUAACACAGAAGAGGAGUUAAAGUAAAAAAUUUAAAAAAUUCUCUAAAACUCCGGAACGCUCAUAAUUAUCCUGGACCCUUUGGAAAAUCCGUCCGGACAUCCCUGGACAUCCUAAAAAAGAGGACAGUGUCCGAGGAAAAGAGGCAGCCCUAGACAUAUAUAUGACCGACGUGUCAAUAUCGUAUCCGCAUACACGCAUAAAGCUUUCCAUGCAUGUCGCCACGGUGGUACACGUACAUCGUACAUGCUCGUCUUUUGAAUACAGCGAUAACGACUACACGAAGGAAAUUGAACGUCACGACGGAGUGAAAUGCCGCUAGAAAGAAAAGCCGAUUGACCCGAUUCGACGUCGUACUGUCGACGAUUAAAAAUGAAAUAUCGUGUGGCGAUAUCGUAUAGAAAAAUGUCCGAGUCGGAAAUACGACAUCGUAGGAUGUCUGCGCCCUACGUAACCUACGUAAAAAUCAUCGUUGCGAGGUAGACCGAUAAUUAUGCACCCUGGUAUUCACCUCGGCCUCGGUAAGAUAUAUAUACGUACAUUUUUCACACUUCUUGAAU
Trachymyrmex septentrionalis is the source of this 690-nucleotide long non-coding RNA. RefSeq lists it as uncharacterized. The transcript is spliced from 3 exons. NCBI's taxonomy places the organism in Eukaryota, Metazoa, Arthropoda, Insecta, Hymenoptera, Formicidae. The record is from RefSeq and is a predicted model, not a curated record.